Molecule: ribosomal RNA, 464 nt
Filed under: uncultured Catenibacterium sp.
Lineage: Bacteria; Bacillati; Bacillota; Erysipelotrichia; Erysipelotrichales; Coprobacillaceae
Description: bacterial SSU rRNA
Rfam family: Bacterial small subunit ribosomal RNA
Source: RNAcentral
CCUACGGGGGGCUGCAGUAGGGAAUUUUCGGCAAUGGGGGAAACCCUGACCGAGCAACGCCGCGUGAGCGAAGAAGGCCUUCGGGUCGUAAAGCUCUGUUGUAAAGGAAGAACGGCGCAUACAGGAAAUGGUAUGCGAGUGACGGUACUUUACCAGAAAGCCACGGCUAACUACGUGCCAGCAGCCGCGGUAAUACGUAGGUGGCGAGCGUUAUCCGGAAUCAUUGGGCGUAAAGAGGGAGCAGGCGGCCGCAAGGGUCUGUGGUGAAAGACCGAAGCUAAACUUCGGUAAGCCAUGGAAACCGGGCGGCUAGAGUGCGGAAGAGGAUCGUGGAAUUCCAUGUGUAGCGGUGAAAUGCGUAGAUAUAUGGAGGAACACCAGUGGCGAAGGCGACGGUCUGGGCCGCAACUGACGCUCAUUCCCGAAAGCGUGGGGAGCAAAUAGGAUUAGAUACCCCAGUAGUC